AAAAUAGCUAAGAUUCCAUUUCUGAUAUUAGUAAAGCUAUACCAGAUUAUUAUUUAUUAUUUUUUUUUUUGAGACACAGUCUCACUCUGUCACUCAAGCUGGAAGGCAGUGGCGUGAUGACAGCUCACUGCAGCUUCAACCUCCUGGGCUCAUGCAUUCCUCCUGCCUCAGCUUCCCAAGUAGCUGGAAGCACAGACAUGCACCACUAUGCCCAGCUAAUUUUUUUUUUUUUUUUUUUUGUAGAGACAAUGUCCCACUAUGUUUCCCAGGCUGGUCUCAAACUUCUGGGCUCAAGUGAUCCAUCUGGGCCUCCCAAAGUGCUGGAAUUACAGAUGCCAGGAACAAGGCUGGCCCUCUAGUGGACAAUGCAGUGGCCUGAGCCUAAAGUCUAUACCCAAAAUAGCAAGAAUGUGCCCAUAUGAUGGUGUCUCCAGGACUAGGAGGCCAAUAAAACAGAAAGGACCUCAAGAUUUGCUAUUUAAGACAAACAAGUAAGUAUGAACUGGGUAGCAGGCUAAGUCAUAUCAACCUGAAUAUAAUAAAAGGCCCAUAUUAGGUCUGAGUCACAGGAGGGAAUUACCAGAUUACAAUCUAGUCGUGUUGCUUUAAGG
Molecule: long non-coding RNA, 611 nt
Filed under: Callithrix jacchus (white-tufted-ear marmoset)
Lineage: Eukaryota; Metazoa; Chordata; Mammalia; Primates; Cebidae
Description: lncRNA (ENSCJAG00000077853.1)
Source: RNAcentral